RNAcentral lists this microRNA (21 nucleotides) under Aegilops tauschii. Its description in RNAcentral is "ata-miR395e-5p". Its record names the gene ata-miR395e-5p. The record is from miRBase by way of RNAcentral. Lineage: Eukaryota; Viridiplantae; Streptophyta; Magnoliopsida; Poales; Poaceae.
GUUCCUUACAAGCACUUCACG